This 1639-nucleotide small RNA is filed under the name Pan troglodytes (chimpanzee). Its description in RNAcentral is "processed transcript". The record is from RNAcentral. Lineage: Eukaryota; Metazoa; Chordata; Mammalia; Primates; Hominidae.
AAAAGAGGCUGCAGAUUCUUGGUGGACAGCUCUCAUAUCCCCUCCAGGGAAAAUGAUGAAAAAUGUCUUCAGAAAAAUAGCUUUAUGAAGGCAAGAGGACUUUUUGCACCUGCAAGACAUGUCUGAAAGCUCCACAGGUCAAAACACAAGUAGUCAAGAGAUUUGUCCAUCUAAUUCAUCAUACUACUCUGAUCCAAGUGAGACCCACACUGGGUCAGCUCCAUCAAGGAGAAGAACAUUCCACCCACGUUUGGAUUCUGGAAUAUCAUCCUUGCUUCCAUCAGAUUCUUGUAAGUACCUCACUUGGCACAAGAUAGAACAACAUGGCGUUCAAGAAAGUCAACUGCGUUGCCCAAGAGUAAGAGAAGGUAAAAGAAUAAAUGUGUGCCUUUUUCGUGUACAUCCUGUGAGUAGAAUUUUUUGUGGAUUAAAAGACAUUACUUGAAGAAAAAAAAAAAGACAUCAUUUGGAGGACCCUCUGAAGAAGAGCAACUUUUCAGACAGGUAGAGUGUGCCUUGCUCCCAAGGAAAAGAGUUCUUGAAAAAAACAAAUGGGAAACAUGGCUACAAGAAAACUGGGAAGACUGCAAGAAUUUGAACAUUUCAUUUCAGGAUUUGGGGGAUCCUUACCAGGUUGAAAAUUUUAACAGAAUUCUUAGAAGACUAAUUCGAGUUGAAACCCCCUGGUUAGUGGAUAAUUCACUGGUGGACUUAAGUGCCAUAAGAUUGCCAAGAGUAUUCUCCUGUUUGCCAAACUUAAAAAUGCUGGAUGGAAUCUUGAAGCUACCAGAAGAUUGCUUAUCACCAGAAACCAAUAUUUUUUCAAAAAUAUGCCUUGUAUCCUAAUGCAGUCUGUAUAGAAAGAAAGCAAUCAUCAUUUUUGCUAAAAGCUAAUAAACACAGGACAUGCAUGAUUAAAUAUUGCAGUUUAUUUUAUAUCUUUUUGCUUUUCUAAAUCAAGGCAAAAACAUGCUAACUGACAAGAAAAUCAUGGGUUUUAAACAAGGAUAACAAGUGCUGGGUUGCUUAGCUAUGAGGAAGGCUAGGCUCACUGCAUACCAGAAGAUGUACAGCGUUGGAGAAUGCAGGGAUUUUUAUCAACUAUCAAACUAUAUUUGUGGAAAUUUUGUGCAUAAGUGCCAAAGAUGGCUGACAUCGGACCACAUUCUAUUUAACUCAACUGAAUGACACCAAGCUCUCAUCCUAAAACUUAUAGUUACAUCCACCCUUCUGAAAUAUUUAAUUAUUCUCCAAUACACUGGAGGUAAUAGGUAUAAAAAGAAUGCGCAUGUGCAACUUAGCAUCUCAUAUCUAAUUUUGUGUCCCAAGUUCAUUAUUCCCCUGAAUGUCCCAUGUCUACCAGGUGCAGGAUUAUCUGGAUGGGUCAGUUCAAAACAAUUUCAGGGAAUAAAUUGUGUAGGGGACUCAAUUUUCUGAGACAGAAACAUAAUGUGAAUAACUCCUUUGUUAGAAAAUAAUUUCAGUGACAGAAAGCCUUUCAGUUCAUAAAGAAAACUUACAUAUCAACAAGCCUAGCUCCUCACUAGUCCCAGUGAAUGCUUACAUCAAUCAGCUCUACAAUAUCCAGUAAAGGACUUUCCAAUUCGCCUUCGAAUAAACUGAGGUAUUGGAAACAUCU